This 491-nucleotide ribosomal RNA is filed under the name uncultured bacterium. RNAcentral's name for it is "partial 16S ribosomal RNA". It matches the Rfam family "Bacterial small subunit ribosomal RNA", at positions 29 to 506 of the family's 1533-position model. The record is from RNAcentral.
AGUGAACGCUGGCGGUAGGCCUAACACAUGCAAGUCGAACGGCAGCACAGUAAGAGCUUGCUCUUACGGGUGGCGAGUGGCGGACGGGUGAGGAAUACAUCGGAAUCUACUUUUUCGUGGGGGAUAACGUAGGGAAACUUACGCUAAUACCGCAUACGACCUACGGGUGAAAGCAGGGGAUCUUCGGACCUUGCGCGAUUGAAUGAGCCGAUGUCGGAUUAGCUAGUUGGCGGGGUAAAGGCCCACCAAGGCGACGAUCCGUAGCUGGUCUGAGAGGAUGAUCAGCCACGCUGGAACUGAGACACGGUCCAGACCCCUAGGGGAGGCAGCGGGGGGGAAUAUUGGACAAGGGGCGCAAGCCUGAUCCAGCCAUACCGGGGGGGUGAAGAAGCCCUUCGGGUGGUAAAGCCCUUUUGUUGGGAAAAAAAAGAAGCAGGUUAAAACCCCGCUGUUCUGACGGUACCAAAAGAAUAAGCACCGGCUAACUUCGU